AGAUUGAACGCUGGCGGAAUGCUUUACACAUGCAAGUCGAGCGGCAGCGCGGGGGCAACCCUGGCGGCGAGCGGCGAACGGGUGAGUAAUACAUCGGAACAUGUCCAGUUGUGGGGGAUAGCCCGGCGAAAGCCGGAUUAAUACCGCAUGAGCUCGAGAGAGGAAGCGGGGGACCUAAGCCUCGCGCGACUGGGUUGCCGAUGUCCGAUUAGCUUAGGUUGGUAGGGUAAACGCCUACCAAGGCGAUGAUCGGUAGCUGGUCUGAGAGGAUGAUCAGCCACACUGGACUGAGACACCGGCCACGACUCCCGUACGGGAGGCAGCAGGUGGGAAUUUUGGACAAGGUGGGGACCAACCCGUGACUCGACG
Molecule: ribosomal RNA, 369 nt
Filed under: uncultured soil bacterium
Lineage: Bacteria
Description: bacterial SSU rRNA
Rfam family: Bacterial small subunit ribosomal RNA
Source: RNAcentral